AUUAACGCUAGCGGCAGGCAUAAUACAUGCAAGUUGAACGGCAGCACAGGUAGCAAUACCGGGUGGCGAGUGGCGCACGGGUGCGUAACACGUAUGCAACCUACCCUAUACAGGCGAAUAACCUUUAGAAAUGAGGGCUAAUACGCCGUGGUAUUAUCUUGGGGCAUCUUGAGAUAAUUAAAGAUUUAUCGGUAUAGGAUGGGCAUGCGUCCCAUUAGUUGGUUGGUAGGGUAACGGCCUACCAAGGCGAUGAUGGGUAGGGG
RNAcentral lists this ribosomal RNA (263 nucleotides) under uncultured bacterium. Its description in RNAcentral is "partial 16S ribosomal RNA". It matches the Rfam family "Bacterial small subunit ribosomal RNA", at positions 29 to 289 of the family's 1533-position model. The record is from RNAcentral.